Oncorhynchus mykiss (rainbow trout) is the source of this 2370-nucleotide non-coding RNA. NCBI's taxonomy places the organism in Eukaryota, Metazoa, Chordata, Actinopteri, Salmoniformes, Salmonidae. The record is from RefSeq and is a predicted model, not a curated record.
AUUUGCAUACGCCUCGCAGCAUGCGUCAUUGCACAGGAAUGCUGCGCUCUCUUGAGCAAUGUAGUCGGAGAGUUCGAGAAAUGGCUAGAAAUCAUGAGUGCUAUUUUCUAGGCAAUGGGGAUGGUAUAUAUUCUGGUACAUUCAGUACCAGUACAUUCAGAUUCAAACAUCGACUCAACGAGAAUACUAAAGGGAAAAGAAAGCAAGAAAAGAGAAGAGAUACGUUCAACAGACCUCUACAUUCAUAAACUGCAACUAACUACAAACCAUCAAGAUGUCAUCAGCUAAAGGCCCGUCUAUCGGCAUUGACCUGGGCACCACCUACUCCUGUGUGGGGGUGUUCCAGCAUGGUAAAGUGGAGAUCAUCGCCAACGACCAGGGCAACAGGACCACACCCAGCUAUGUGGCCUUCACAGACACUGAGAGACUUAUCGGAGACGCAGCAAAGAACCAGGUGGCCAUGAACCCCAACAACACCGUUUUCGACGCCAAACGCCUGAUUGGCCGAAAGUUCAACGAUCAGGUCGUGCAAGCCGACAUGAAGCACUGGCCCUUCAAGGUGGUCAGCGACGGAGGAAAGCCUAAAGUUCAGGUCGAUUACAAAGGUGAGAACAAAUGCUUCAACCCAGAGGAGAUCUCCUCCAUGGUCCUGGUGAAGAUGAGGGAGAUCGCUGAGGCUUACCUGGGCCAGAAGGUGUCCAAUGCAGUCAUCACAGUCCCUGCCUACUUCAACGAUUCACAGAGAUAGGCCACUAAGGACGCUGGAGUGAUCGCUGGGCUGAAUGUGCUGAGGAUCAUCAACGAGCCCACGGCGGCAGCCAUCGCCUACGGCAUGGACAAAGGCAUGUCCAGGGAACGCAACGUCCUGAUUUUUGACCUGGGUGGGGAAACCUUUGACGUGUCCAUCCUGACCAUCGAGGAUGGGAUCUUUGAGGUGAAGGCCACAGCUGGAGACACUCACCUGGGCGGGGAGGACUUUGACAACCGCCUGGUCAGUCACUUUGUGGAGGAGUUCAAGAGGAAACACAAGAAGGACAUCAGCCAGAACAAGCGGGCUCUGAGGAGGCUGAGGACAGCCUGCGAGAGGGCCAAGAGAACACUGUCCUCCAGCUCCCAGGCCAGCAUUGAGAUUGACUCUCUUUUUGAGGGCAUCGACUUCUACACCUCCAUCACCAGGGCUCGUUUUGAGGAAAUGUGUUCCGACCUCUUCAGGGGAACCCUGGAGCCUGUGGAGAAAGCCCUCGGGGAUGCCAAGAUGGACAAGGCCCAAAUUCACGACGUCGUCCUGGUCGGAGGCUCCACCCGGAUCCCCAAGGUCCAGAAGCUCCUGCAGGACUUUUUCAACGGCCGAGAGCUAAACAAGAGCAUCAACCCAGACGAGGCGGUGGCCUACGGCGCUGCCAUCCAGGCGGCCAUCUUGUCUGGCGACAAGUCUGAGAACGUCCAGGACCUGCUGCUGCUGGAUGUGGCUCCCCUGUCCCUGGGCAUCGAAACCGCCGGAGGGGUCAUGACCGCCCUGAUCAAACUCAACACCACCAUCCCAUCCAAACAGACCCAGACCUUCACCACUUACUCCGACAACCAGCCCGGGGUCAUGAUCCAGGUCUACGAGGGAGAGAGAGCCAUGACCAAGGACAACAACCUCCUGGGGAAGUUUGAGCUCUCUGGGAUCCCCCCUGCCCCACGAGGAGUCCCUCAGAUCGAGGUGACCUUUGACAUCGACGCCAACGGCAUUCUGAACGUAUCAGCGGUGGACAAGAGCACGGGCAAAGAGAACAAGAUCACCAUCACCAACGACAAGGGCCGGCUCAGCAAAGAGGAUAUUGAGAGGAUGGUGCAGGACGCUGACAAAUACAAAGCUGAGGAUGACGCACAGAGGGAGAAGAUAGCUGCCAAGAACUCCCUGGAGUCGUACGCCUUCAAUAUGAAGAGCAGCGUGGAGGACGACAACAUGAAAGGCAAGAUCAGCCAGGAGGACAAAAAGAAAGUGGUGGACAGGUGCGACCAGACCAUUUCCUGGUUGGAGAACAACCAGCUGGGCGACAAAGAGGAGUAUGAGCAUCAGCUAAAGGAGCUGGAGAAAGUAUGCCAGCCUAUCAUUACCAAGCUGUACCAGCAGGGAGGGAUGCCCACAGGUUGCUGUGGAGAUCAGGCACGGACCAGCUCUGGUGACAGCUCCCAAGGCCCAACCAUUGAAGAGAUUGACUAAAGUGAGGGAUUUUUAUAAAGGACUUUUCAAAAUGCAUUAGUAUCACUGCAUACAAUUUACUAUUCAGGAAAUACUUUGUACUUGUAAAAACACACUGUACAUCUGUUGAUUCAUACCAUAUUGCAUUGCUGGACAUUGCAAAUAAAAUGUAUUUAAAUAUG